Molecule: unclassified non-coding RNA, 108 nt
Filed under: Chryseobacterium formosense
Lineage: Bacteria; Pseudomonadati; Bacteroidota; Flavobacteriia; Flavobacteriales; Weeksellaceae
Description: Flavo-1 RNA
Source: RNAcentral
UCUUAGCCCGGAUUGAGCGGUAUGUUUGAGCUCUUUUCUUUGGUUUCUGCGGCGGCAUAGCCGCCGCAGAAACCAAAGAAAAAGCGAGUAGCGAAAGCCGGAAAAAGC